RNAcentral lists this ribosomal RNA (499 nucleotides) under uncultured bacterium. RNAcentral's name for it is "partial 16S ribosomal RNA". It matches the Rfam family "Bacterial small subunit ribosomal RNA", at positions 28 to 507 of the family's 1533-position model. The record is from RNAcentral.
GACGAACGCUGGCGGCGUGCCUAAUACAUGCAAGUCGAGCGAAGUUUUUCUGGUGCUUGCACUAGAAAAACUUAGCGGCGAACGGGUGAGUAACACGUAUAGAACCUGCCUCAUAGACUGGGACAACUAUUGGAAACGAUAGCUAAUACCGGAUAACAGUAUUUCUCGCAUGAGAGAUAUUUAAAAGUUGGUUAUGCUAACACUAUGAGAUGGCUUUGCGGUGCAUUAGCUAGUUGGUGGGGUAAAGGCCCACCAAGGCGGCGAUGCAUAGCCGACCUGAGAGGGUGAUCGGCCACCCUGGGACUGAGACACGGACCAGACUCCUACGGGAGGCAGCAGUAGGGAAUCUUCCGCAAUGGGCGAAAGCCUGACGGAGCAACGCCGCGUGAGUGAAGAAGGAUUUCGGUUCGUAAAGCUCUGUUGUUAGGGAAGAAUGGAUAUGUAGUAACUAUACAUGUAAGAGACGGUACCUAACCAGAAAGCCACGGCUAACUACGUG